This 497-nucleotide ribosomal RNA is filed under the name uncultured bacterium. Its description in RNAcentral is "partial 16S ribosomal RNA". It matches the Rfam family "Bacterial small subunit ribosomal RNA", at positions 28 to 507 of the family's 1533-position model. The record is from RNAcentral.
GAUGAACGCUGGCGGCGUGCCUAAUACAUGCAAGCCGAGCGAACGGACGAGAAGCUUGCUUCUCUGAUGUUAGCGGCGGACGGGUGAGUAACACGUGGAUAACCUACCUAUAGGACUGGGAUAAAUUCGGGAAACCGGAGCUAAUACCGGAUAAUAUUUUGAACCGCAUGGUUCAAAAGUGAAAGACGGUCUUGCUGUCACUUAUAGAUGGAUCCGCGCUGCAUUAGCUAGUUGGUAAGGUAACGGCUUACCAAGGCAACGAUGCAUAGCCGACCUGAGAGGGUGAUCGGCCACACUGGAACUGAGACACGGUCCAGACUCCUACGGGAGGCAGCAGUAGGGAAUCUUCCGCAAUGGGCGAAAGCCUGACGGAGCAACGCCGCGUGAGUGAUGAAGGUCUUCGGAUCGUAAAACUCUGUUAUUAGGGAAGAACAUAUGUGUAAGUAACUGUGCACAUCUUGACGGUACCUAAUCAGAAAGCCACGGCUAACUACGUG